AUAAACAAAACUAUAGAAAGUGAAUGAGUGGAAAAAAAUAAAAUACAAAUUAUCAAAAAGUUACCAAAGAAUUACUAAAUUCAAGAAUUGAACUUUCUGAACCAAUUUGAGGUAUUUGGAAAAUAUUUCCUAGUCUCAUGAUUAAAUACAUUUUUUUGAUAAGGAUGUGUUAAUGACAAGCAUCCUUGUUACGAAAGGGUCAACGAAUAGGAAAUAAUCGAUAAUUCGAUAUUCAUCGCAAAUCGUUUCGCGAGUUGUUUUCGUACAUACAUACACACACACACACACAGGAUAGAAAACA
Molecule: long non-coding RNA, 301 nt
Organism: Polistes dominula (European paper wasp)
Lineage: Eukaryota; Metazoa; Arthropoda; Insecta; Hymenoptera; Vespidae
Source: RefSeq, a predicted model, not a curated record